GUAGUCCACGCCGUAAACGAUGAUUACUAGGUGUGGGGGGCUAACCCUUCCGUGCCGGAGUUAACACAAUAAGUAAUCCACCUGGGGAGUACGACCGCAAGGUUGAAACUCAAAGGAAUUGACGGGGGCCCGCACAAGCAGUGGAGUAUGUGGUUUAAUUCGAAGCAACGCGAAGAACCUUACCAGGUCUUGACAUCGAGUGACGAUCCUAGAGAUAGGAUUUCCAUUCGGGGCACGAAGACAGGUGGUGCAUGGUUGUCGUCAGCUCGUGUCGUGAGAUGUUGGGUUAAGUCCCGCAACGAGCGCAACCCUUACUAUUAGUUGCUACGCAAGAGCACUCUAAUAGGACUGCCGUUGACAAAACGGA
Molecule: ribosomal RNA, 367 nt
Filed under: uncultured bacterium
Lineage: Bacteria
Description: bacterial SSU rRNA
Rfam family: Bacterial small subunit ribosomal RNA
Source: RNAcentral